Molecule: non-coding RNA, 1478 nt
Organism: Punica granatum (pomegranate)
Lineage: Eukaryota; Viridiplantae; Streptophyta; Magnoliopsida; Myrtales; Lythraceae
Source: RefSeq, a predicted model, not a curated record
CUCCCUUCUUCCCUUCCUCCACUCCAAUACACACAAACUAUCCCUCCUCCUCCUCCACCUUUCCUUUUAGCCUCCUCCCCUUUCAUCUAUCUAUCUAAUCUAUCCGCUCCUCCCACUCCCUCUCUUUUGUUCAUCCUCAUCUUCUCCACCUAACCUGAUCGAUAAUUGCUCGCUCGCUCGAUCUAUGCUAGUGUGCCUAUCCCACAUAGGUAUCCUGAGAUACCAAAUACCUUGUAUGGAUCGACCUCGGUACCGACCAAGAGGCAAGGGAAACAAGAGAAGAGUGGCUCUCUUUGUUGCCUUCCACAGCUUUCUUGAACUGCUUAUAGGGUUCACGAAUCCGGUAGCCGAUCUCUGGGAGCUCUCACAUUGCAGUUCAAUAAAGCUGUGGGAAGUUACACGGAGGGCCAAGGAAAAAUCCAGGCUUUGAUGGGGUUUACACCGAUGGUGUAUAUGCUAGCUGGAGAAAUCUACGGAAUAUUAUGUCCUAAUCAUAAAGAAUUAAGUCGAGGAUGAUUCUUGAGAGAUUGAUUUUUCGUCAUAAUAUCCAUGGAUUUAAAUCUUCAUUUCUUUUCCUGGUGUAAAUGCAUAAAAUACAAGUUCUUUUGCGUGCAUAUUUGUGGAUCUAUCUAUCCUUGAUUCGUAAAAGCAAAGGCGAGGACUAUUAUUCCCGAUCUCUACUAAUCUUUGAUAAAAACCAUUCUUAAUCUCUUAUGGAUCGAAUUACUCUCUGAAUAUCUUGUUCAAUUUCCUAAGCAUGUUUUCCCCUCAUCAUGUAUCCCGUGAAUUAAAGUCUAUAUUGCCUUUAUACACGGAUCCCUUUCAUUAUUGUCACUUACCUUUCUCAAGGAGGUAAAUUUCAACUGCUUCAUGAUGUAAACUCUUGCAUUGAAUUGACAUGCCCUAUCAUAUUAGAUUAGAGAUUGACAUGACAGAUGGUUGCUAAGUUCAGUUUGUUGUUUGAUUGCAGAUUAGUCUGCACAAUAUAUUUUUGUGAGAUCAGCUACAUUUUGUUAUUUUAUCUGAUGGCUCCAUUCCGAUAUGUUGCACGUGUGUGUGUGCGUGUGCGUGUGCGUUUGUGUGUCCAGAUCAGAUUAGAUAGUUUAAUGGGGACAAGCUAUAUAGAAUCUUCCCGGUGGCGUAUCGAACUUGUUGAUUGUGAAUUGCAAGUAAUCUAUGUAUAGCCUGCUUCUUACAUUUUGUCAAGAGUCUGGCCUCCAUGUGGUUGUUUCAUGGCAGGAAGAUUCCCAGAUGGAGCAAAGAGCAUUGAUCCUACGUAUCUGCAAGUGACAAUGGCUGUGUGUUGACCUCUUUCGUAUGAUCUGUAAAGUUGUACUGUGUCGGUCAACCAAUUAUUGAACAGUUAAUUCUUUGCCAUUCAUGUUCUUCCUGGGACACCACCCAUGAUCUCCUUUAUUAAUAACCUACCUUGUAUUUGCUUGAGCGUUAUCUUGACUAUUAAAAAUUUUCAUGCAGCA